AACCGCAUGGUUCAAUAGUGAAAGGCGGCUUUGCUGUCACUUAUAGAUGGAUCCGCGCCGUAUUAGCUAGUUGGUAAGGUAACGGCUUACCAAGGCAACGAUACGUAGCCGACCUGAGAGGGUGAUCGGCCACACUGGAACUGAGACACGGUCCAGACUCCUACGGGAGGCAGCAGUAGGGAAUCUUCCGCAAUGGGCGAAAGCCUGACGGAGCAACGCCGCGUGAGUGAUGAAGGUCUUCGGAUCGUAAAACUCUGUUAUCAGGGAAGAACAAAUGUGUAAGUAACUGUGCACAUCUUGACGGUACCUGAUCAGAAAGCCACGGCUAACUACGUGCCAGCAGCCGCGGUAAUACGUAGGUGGCAAGCGUUAUCCGGAAUUAUUGGGCGUAAAGCGCGCGUAGGCGGUUUUUUAAGUCUGAUGUGAAAGCCCACGGCUCAACCGUGGAGGGGUCAUUGGAAAACUGGAAAA
RNAcentral lists this ribosomal RNA (471 nucleotides) under Staphylococcus sp. 7R14-101. RNAcentral describes it as "bacterial SSU rRNA". It matches the Rfam family "Bacterial small subunit ribosomal RNA", at positions 184 to 640 of the family's 1533-position model. The record is from RNAcentral. Lineage: Bacteria; Bacillati; Bacillota; Bacilli; Caryophanales; Staphylococcaceae.